UGGGGAAUCUUCCGCAAUGGACGAAAGUCUGACGGAGCAACGCCGCGUGUAUGAUGAAGGUCUUCGGAUUGUAAAGUACUGUCAUUGGGGAAGAACGGUUUUCUUGAAAAGAUUGAGAAGACAUGACGGUACCCAAGGAGGAAGCCCCGGCUAACUACGUGCCAGCAGCCGCGGUAAUACGUAGGGGGCAAGCGUUGUCCGGAAUUAUUGGGCGUAAAGGGCGCGUAGGCGGGCCUUUAAGUCCGGUGUGAAAGAUCAGGGCUCAACCCUGAGAGUGCAUCGGAAACUGGAGGCCUUGAGGACAGGAGAGGAAAGUGGAAUUCCACGUGUAGCGGUGAAAUGCGUAGAUAUGUGGAGGAACACCAGUGGCGAAGGCGACUUUCUGGACUGUAACUGACGCUGAGGCGCGAAAGCGUGGGGAGCAAACAGGAUUAGAUACCCUGGUAGUCCACGCCCGUAAACUGAUGAGUGCUAGGUGUAGAGGGUAUCGACCCCUUCUGUGCCGCAGUUAACACAAUAAGCACUCCGCCUGGGGAGUACGGCCGCAA
RNAcentral lists this ribosomal RNA (548 nucleotides) under uncultured bacterium. RNAcentral's name for it is "partial 16S ribosomal RNA". It matches the Rfam family "Bacterial small subunit ribosomal RNA", at positions 355 to 891 of the family's 1533-position model. The record is from RNAcentral.